CAGUAGCCAGGUAAUACAGAGGGUGCGAGCGUUAAUCGGAUUUACUGGGCGUAAAGCGUGCGUAGGCGGCUUCUUAAGUCGGAUGUGAAAUCCCUGAGCUUAACUUAGGAAUUGCAUUCGAUACUGGGAAGCUAGAGUAUGGGAGAGGAUGGUAGAAUUCCAGGUGUAGCGGUGAAAUGCGUAGAGAUCGGAAGGAACAUCUGUGGCGAAGGCGACUAUCUGGGCCAACACUGACACUGAGGCACGAAAGCGUGGGGAGCAAACAGGAUUAGAUACCCCAGUAGUCCCUGUCUCUUAUACA
RNAcentral lists this ribosomal RNA (301 nucleotides) under uncultured bacterium. Its description in RNAcentral is "partial 16S ribosomal RNA". It matches the Rfam family "Bacterial small subunit ribosomal RNA", at positions 509 to 808 of the family's 1533-position model. The record is from RNAcentral.